AGAGGCCAAAGCGAGCCCCACAACCUCCGCAGCCUCCACCACCAAGUCCCUUCACUCGUCCGCGCCGCCCGGAGAAAAUGUCACCAGAGGCCGUUCCGCUCGGCGCCUCACUUCCGCCCGGAACCACAGAGCCCUGAGCCCGCCCGGCUAGAGCGGCCGCUGCGACGGGGGAAACUCUAGGGACGAGCGCUGGAGGCCGAAAGGAAGCCAGACAGCGCCAUCUGGCGGGACGGACCCCACGCUCCUCCGGCUGCAGCUCGCCCGGCGUGCGGGCAUCGGCCUCCCGGGUUUUCCCACGCUCCCUGUAUCCGCUCAGGCAGUUCCCUUCUAAGAAAUGUUUUGCCCCGGGCNNGGGGGCGGGGGGGGGGGGGGCGGUCGGGAAGCCAGUCAAUACAAGCCACGGGCAAUGCCCUAAGAGAAAGUCGGCGCUCCCUUUUCUGUACGCUGCUCAGGACUCACCCCUCCUGAAGCGUUUACAGAAGGAAGCUCUUGGCGUUUGAAUCCUUGAGUCACGCCGGCAAGGAAGUCCGCUCCGUUCUCUCCCCCACCUUUUCGCGGAUGCCCACGGCUCUGCUCGCGGAGACUUGGCUGUGCCUCUCUCAUGCAGUGGCAUCAACAUUCCGUUCAAGUUUUCUGGAUGAACCUUGCACGCCUUGCAGACAGACCGCCACCUGCUGCAGAGAGUUCCAAGGGGGUUUGACCGAGUUGUCCUGCUCCGCGGUGAACACGCUCCAUACGUGGAUGGACGUGGAUGGAGGAAGUCUAAGCACCGAAGCUGGGGAGACACACAAAACUGAAAAGAUGUUAAAACAAGUAAGUGGCGCCAGAUGCAUAGUGGGUGAGAAGCUGGGAGGAGGGCGGCGGGCUUGCAGACAGCUGUUGAGAAGGAGGAGGGCUCAGUGCCUGGAGGGCAGCGCUCGGGCCGACCUUCCUCGCAGCCGCCUCGGUGUCCUGCUCAGGGCCUGGCAGACAACAUGGAAAUAAAUGUCUGUGACUGAAGGACAGCUGUGCAGAGAAGCUGACCUUUGGGGGCAAGGGGACAAGAGGUGGAAAAGUCCCCGGGAUGUCUGAGGGAUGACAGCCUGAGGGCCUGGCUGCCCAUGGCUGGACAGGGAUAGUGAGAGGCCUGAAGGAGUAAGUCAGAGGCUUAAUGUGAGUGGAAGGAGCCGGGGCUUCACUUCUUAAACACUAGUGGGGAAGCAUGUCCGAAGUUCUCACCAGACUUAUGGGAAGUGUUCGGGUCAAGGCCAGCAGAAAACGGACCCUCCUGGCCCACUUGGAGAGGAAGGAGAACAUGGACCCCAGACUGUCCAUGGCAGUGAGGGCAGGAAAGCUGAGGGAGGGAGGGAGAAAGUCGAAUUGCCAGCCGCUGGAGAGAAAGAAAGGAAAGCUUUAGAAAAGAAAAGACGUGUCGCAGGGAGGAAGCCAAUUCUGACUCCAUAUUGGAAACUGUUUGAAUUGCUUUUAUUAUUAUAAUCAUACUCAAUGGCUUGCCUGGAGGACCCUGCNNNNNNNNNNNNNNNNNNNNNNNNNNNNNNNNNNNNNNNNNNNNNNNNNNNNNNNNNNNNNNNNNNNNNNNNNNNNNNNNNNNNNNNNNNNNNNNNNNNGAGUCAGACAGGACUGAGCGACUGAACUGAACUGAACUGAACUGAACUGAGGAAACUCAGAAUACAGGAUUACAGGCCCCAGAUGGCUGAGGUUCAUACCAAGGAAAUUAAAUUUUAGUGAACUCUGACUCUUGCAUCUUCCCAUAUGUAGAAAAUUGCUAAAUUUCUCAACUUGAGAUUUUGUCUCAUGGAUUUGAAGUUCAGUGUUCCUAAGUCUACAGGUGUAAAAUAGACCCUUUCCAAAAGAGGAUCAAAAAGAAGACAAAUCUCAAUGCUUGAAACACUGGCAAAGAUGGUGGACACUCCCAGUAAAAUCCAUCUGACUAAGCAGAAAUGUCAUCACUCCCUUCUCCCACAAAGUUGUGGAAUGGACUUUGACACUGCGGAAUUGUUGCAGGCUGGAAGCCAAUUCUGACUCCACAUUGGAAACUGUUUCUUGUUUUUAUUGUUGUAAUCAUACUCAAUGGCUUGCCUGGAGGACCCUGCCCUCUGCUUGACUGUAAACUAAAGUGCCUUUGUUCAGUUCAUAGAGACAUAGUUUGUGUCUGCUCACCUGUGGAUAGAAGAGAUGAACACACCCCUUCUGAAGGCUGGGCGUUCCCCUGGGGACAUUUUACAAGACUGAAGACCCUUUCACUUUACUUCCCCACUGCAGUUCCCUCUCUAUACAGCCUUUUGAAUUUAGUUCCUCAUUGCUUCUUUCUCUCUGAUCUAUUAAAGAACCUGGCAUUCAGAUCCUACAAAGAAGGUUAUUUUGAGGUGCCUGCCUGCCAUCUUCUCUGUCUGCCAGCUCCCCAAUUAAAGUCUCUUCCUUGCCUCUACAUCUUGUCUAUCAGAUUCAUUGGCUUAUCAUGUGGCAAGCAGAG
Molecule: long non-coding RNA, 2473 nt
Filed under: Capra hircus (goat)
Lineage: Eukaryota; Metazoa; Chordata; Mammalia; Artiodactyla; Bovidae
Description: lncRNA (ENSCHIG00010016414.1)
Source: RNAcentral